GUAGUAGACGCGAAACCGAGUGAUCUACCCAUGGGCAGGUUGAAGCUGUGGUAACACAUAGUGGAGGACCGAACCAGUUGACGUUGAAAAGUCUUUGGAUGACCUGUGGGUAGGGGUGAAAGGCCAAUCAAACUCGGAAAUAGCUCGUACUCCCCGAAAUGCAUUUAGGUGCAGCGUUGAGUAAAAGUUUUAUAGAGGUAGAGCUACUGAUUGGAUGCGGGGGCUUCACCGCCUACCAAUUCCUGACAAACUCCGAAUGCUAUAAAAUGUUUCUCAGCAGUGAGGGCAUGGGUGCUAAGGUCCAUGUCCGAGAGGGAAAGAACCCAGACCAUCAGCUAAGGUCCCCAAAUAUAUGUUAAGUUGAACUAACGAAGUGAAAUUGCUUAGACAGCUAGGAUGUUGGCUUGGAAGCAGCCAUUCAUUUAAAGAGUGCGUAACAGCUCACUAGUCGAGCGAUUUUGCAUGGAUAAUAAUCGGGCAUAAACAUAUUACCGAAGCUAUGGAUUUACGUUGAAAGACACGUAAGUGGUAGGGGAGCAUUGUAAUCAGCGUAGAAGGUGUACUGUAAGGUAUGCUGGAGUGGUUACAAAAGAAAAUGUAGGCAUAAGUAACGAUAAUGCGGGCGAGAAACCCGCACACCGAAAGACUAAGGUUUCCUCAGCGAUGCUAAUCAGCUGAGGGUUAGUCGGGUCCUAAGGCGAAUCCGAAGGGAGUAGUCGAUGGAUAACAGGUUAAUAUUCCUGUACUUCUUAUAAUUGCGAUGGGGUGACGGAGUAUUGAAAGCACCGCGUACUGACGGAAUAGUACGUUGAAGACUGUAUUUAUAGGACAUGUAGGUAAAUCCGCAAGUUUUGGAGAAAGUUGAUAGUACCAUGAGUCUUCGGAUGAGUGGAUAGUGUGCCUAAAAGCUUCCAAGAAAAACCUCUAAGCUUCAGAUUAUAAGAACCCGUACCGUAAACCGACACAGGUAGUUGGGAUGAGAAUUCUAAGGUGCUCGAGAGAUUCAUGGCUAAGGAACUAGGCAAAAUCGACCCGUAACUUCGGGAGAAGGGUCGCCACGCUUCGGCGUGGCCGCAGUGAAAAGGUCCAGGCGACUGUUUAUCAAAAACACAGGGCUUUGCUAAAUUGAAAGAUGAUGUAUAAGGCCUGACACCUGCCCGGUGCUGGAAGGUUAAGUGGAGGGCUUAGAAGUUUACUUCGAAGGUCUGAAAUGAAGCCCCAGUAAACGGCGGCCGUAACUAUAACGGUCCUAAGGUAGCGAAAUUCCUUGUCGGGUAAGUUCCGACCUGCACGAAUGGUGCAACGAUCUGGACACUGUCUCAGCCAUGAGCUCGGUGAAAUUGUAGUAUCGGUGAAGAUGCCGAUUACCCGCAGCGGGACGAAAAGACCCCGUGAACCUUUACUAUAGCUUAGUAUUGGCUUUGGAUAAGUAAUGUGUAGGAUAGGUGGG
RNAcentral lists this ribosomal RNA (1450 nucleotides) under Craterolophus convolvulus. Its description in RNAcentral is "bacterial LSU rRNA". It matches the Rfam family "Bacterial large subunit ribosomal RNA", at positions 706 to 2151 of the family's 2925-position model. The record is from RNAcentral. Lineage: Eukaryota; Metazoa; Cnidaria; Staurozoa; Stauromedusae; Craterolophidae.